RNAcentral lists this ribosomal RNA (1372 nucleotides) under uncultured bacterium. RNAcentral describes it as "bacterial SSU rRNA". It matches the Rfam family "Bacterial small subunit ribosomal RNA", at positions 28 to 1381 of the family's 1533-position model. The record is from RNAcentral.
GAUGAACGCUGGCGGCGUGCCUAAUACAUGCAAGUCGAGCGAACGGACGAGAAGCUUGCUUCUCUGAUGUUAGCGGCGGACGGGUGAGUAACACGUGGAUAACCUACCUAUAAGACUGGGAUAACUUCGGGAAACCGGAGCUAAUACCGGAUAAUAUUUUGAACCGCAUGGUUCAAAAGUGAAAGACGGUCUUGCUGUCACUUAUAGAUGGAUCCGCGCUGCAUUAGCUAGUUGGUAAGGUAACGGCUUACCAAGGCAACGAUGCAUAGCCGACCUGAGAGGGUGAUCGGCCACACUGGAACUGAGACACGGUCCAGACUCCUACGGGAGGCAGCAGUAGGGAAUCUUCCGCAAUGGGCGAAAGCCUGACGGAGCAACGCCGCGUGAGUGAUGAAGGUCUUCGGAUCGUAAAACUCUGUUAUUAGGGAAGAACAUAUGUGUAAGUAACUGUGCACAUCUUGACGGUACCUAAUCAGAAAGCCACGGCUAACUACGUGCCAGCAGCCGCGGUAAUACGUAGGUGGCAAGCGUUAUCCGGAAUUAUUGGGCGUAAAGCGCGCGUAGGCGGUUUUUUAAGUCUGAUGUGAAAGCCCACGGCUCAACCGUGGAGGGUCAUUGGAAACUGGAAAACUUGAGUGCAGAAGAGGAAAGUGGAAUUCCAUGUGUAGCGGUGAAAUGCGCAGAGAUAUGGAGGAACACCAGUGGCGAAGGCGACUUUCUGGUCUGUAACUGACGCUGAUGUGCGAAAGCGUGGGGAUCAAACAGGAUUAGAUACCCUGGUAGUCCACGCCGUAAACGAUGAGUGCUAAGUGUUAGGGGGUUUCCGCCCCUUAGUGCUGCAGCUAACGCAUUAAGCACUCCGCCUGGGGAGUACGACCGCAAGGUUGGAACUCAAAGGAAUUGACGGGGACCCGCACAAGCGGUGGAGCAUGUGGUUUAAUUCGAAGCAACGCGAAGAACCUUACCAAAUCUUGACAUCCUUUGACAACUCUAGAGAUAGAGCUUUCCCCUUCGGGGGACAAAGUGACAGGUGGUGCAUGGUUGUCGUCAACUCGUGUCGUGAGAUGUUGGGUUAAGUCCCGCAACGAGCGCAACCCUUAAGCUUAGUUGCCAUCAUUAAGUUGGGCACUCUAAGUUGACUGCCGGUGACAAACCGGAGGAAGGUGGGGAUGACGUCAAAUCAUCAUGCCCCUUAUGAUUUGGGCUACACACGUGCUACAAUGGACAAUACAAAGGGCAGCGAAACCGCGAGGUCAAGCAAAUCCCAUAAAGUUGUUCUCAGUUCGGAUUGUAGUCUGCAACUCGACUACAUGAAGCUGGAAUCGCUAGUAAUCGUAGAUCAGCAUGCUACGGUGAAUACGUUCCCGGGUCU